RNAcentral lists this ribosomal RNA (440 nucleotides) under uncultured bacterium. RNAcentral's name for it is "partial 16S ribosomal RNA". It matches the Rfam family "Bacterial small subunit ribosomal RNA", at positions 338 to 795 of the family's 1533-position model. The record is from RNAcentral.
CCUACGGGAGGCAGCAGUGGGGGCUAUUGCACAAUGGGGGGAACCCUGAUGCAGCGACGCCGCGUGGGUGAAGAAGCGCCUCGGCGCGUAAAGCCCUGUCAGCAGGGAAGAAAAUGACGGUACCUGAAGAAGAAGCCCCGGCUAACUACGUGCCAGCAGCCGCGGUAAUACGUAGGGGGCAAGCGUUAUCCGGAGUUACUGGGUGGAAAGGGGGCGCAGACGGCGAUGCAAGCCAGGAGUGAAAGCCCGGGGCCCAACCCCGGGACUGCUCGUGGAACUGCGUGGCUGGAGUGCAGGAGGGGCAGGCGGAAUUCCUAGUGUAGCGGUGAAAUGCGUAGAUAUUAGGAGGAACACCAGUGGCGAAGGCGGCCUGCUGGACGAUGACUGACGUUGAGGCUCGAAAGCGUGGGGAGCAAACAGGAUUAGAUACCCGGGUAGUC